CCUGGUGGCUCAGAGGGUAAAGCGUCUGCCUGCAAUGCAGGAGACCUGGGUUCGAUCCCUGGAUCAGGA
This 69-nucleotide transfer RNA is filed under the name Bos indicus (zebu cattle). It matches the Rfam family "tRNA". Rfam says of the family: Transfer RNA (tRNA) molecules are approximately 80 nucleotides in length. Their secondary structure includes four short double-helical elements and three loops (D, anti-codon, and T loops). The record is from Rfam by way of RNAcentral. RNAcentral also lists the same sequence under 3 other names. Lineage: Eukaryota; Metazoa; Chordata; Mammalia; Artiodactyla; Bovidae.